This 533-nucleotide ribosomal RNA is filed under the name uncultured bacterium. RNAcentral's name for it is "bacterial SSU rRNA". It matches the Rfam family "Bacterial small subunit ribosomal RNA", at positions 138 to 662 of the family's 1533-position model. The record is from RNAcentral.
GGGGGAUAACUAUCCGAAAGGAUAGCUAAUACCGCAUACGGACCCGAGGGUGAAAGCGGGGGGACCGAAAGGCCUCGCGCGAUUGGAGCGGCCGAUAUCGGAUUAGCUAGUUGGUGAGGUAAAGGCUCACCAAGGCGACGAUCCGUAGCUGGUCUGAGAGGACGACCAGCCACACUGGAACUGAGACACGGUCCAGACUCCUACGGGAGGCAGCAGUGGGGAAUUUUGGACAAUGGGGGCAACCCUGAUCCAGCCAUUCCGCGUGAGUGAAGAAGGCCUUCGGGGUUGUAAAAGCUCUUUCAGCAGGAACGAAACGGUGGUCCCUAAUACGGGCUACUAAUGACGGUACCUGAAGAAGAAGCACCGGCUAACUACGUGCCAGCAGCCGCGGUAAUACGUAGGGUGCGAGCGUUAAUCGGAAUUACUGGGCGUAAAGCGUGCGCAGGCGGUUAUAUAAGACAGAUGUGAAAUCCCCGGGCUUAACCUGGGAACUGCGUUUGUGACUGUAUAACUCGAGUGUGGCAGAGGGGGGC